RNAcentral lists this long non-coding RNA (229 nucleotides) under Bos taurus (domestic cattle). RNAcentral's name for it is "long non-coding RNA NONBTAT006543". Lineage: Eukaryota; Metazoa; Chordata; Mammalia; Artiodactyla; Bovidae. The record is from RNAcentral.
GGAGUUUCAUUAGGCUAACAGACUGUUAAGAAUAAAUGAGAUAGUGACUUAGAAUUCUUCUUGCUCACAGAAGGGCUGUCUUUUAAUUUUUAUUACCCUUGGUGAAUUCUUAAGUCUUCUGGUUAGUUGAAGAAUGGAACCCAAGAGAGUUUUCCUUUUUUAAAACUUCUGAUAGUGCGUUACAGUUAAUUUACCUUCAUGUGUUGAUUAGGACAAUCUGAUUUUAACA